AUGCUCCAUUAUAUAUCUCAUAUACAUAAGUUCUUCUUGUUACGAGAAAUAACAAUACAGGACUUGUAUCCGAGACCUGUAAUUAGAAUGAGUGCACUUUAAAUCCUUUAACAAGGACCUAUUGGAGGGCAAGUAUGGUGUCAGCAGCUACCCUAAUUCCAGCUCAAUUGGGCUUGUACAUUACUCUAUGGUAAGUGAGUGUAUUGCCGGUGGAGUUCUAAUAUAUUAUGGUAUUAUAGCGUAUAUUUCCCAUUCAAACCUACUUCAGUGCUCAUCAUCGAGUGUUGUUUUGGCCCGGUACAAUUACUUCAAAUAUAUUAGAGUGCUUAAAGCAAGCUUCAAAUACCUGAAUAUUUGUGCAUGGAAUAAUGGAAUAAGAACUCUGUUAUACUUUCAUAGAAUAGAAGCAGUAUGGGGUCAUUAAUAUUAGAAUGCUAGAAGAGAAAUUGUUGGACCGUCGUAAAACAAACUUAAGCGAAAGCAUUUGCCAAAGAUAUUUUCACCAAGAACAAAAGUUUUAGUUAGAGGGCGAGCACACUAGUUCUAGCCAUAAACGAUGCCAUCUAGGAAUUGGGUGAAGCUACUUUAUGGUCCUUUCAAUCUCUUCCCGGGAAACAAAAGCUUGUCGUG
This 630-nucleotide non-coding RNA is filed under the name Megaselia scalaris. Its description in RNAcentral is "Eukaryotic small subunit ribosomal RNA". It matches the Rfam family "Eukaryotic small subunit ribosomal RNA", at positions 430 to 1111 of the family's 1831-position model. Lineage: Eukaryota; Metazoa; Arthropoda; Insecta; Diptera; Phoridae. The record is from Rfam by way of RNAcentral.